CCUACGGGAGGCUGCAGUGAGGAAUAUUGGUCAAUGGACGAGAGUCUGAACCAGCCAAGUAGCGUGAAGGAUGACUGCCCUAUGGGUUGUAAACUUCUUUUAUAUGGGAAUAAAACGUUCCACGUGUGGGAUUUUGUAUGUACCAUAUGAAUAAGGAUCGGCUAACUCCGUGCCAGCAGCCGCGGUAAUACGGAGGAUCCGAGCGUUAUCCGGAUUUAUUGGGUUUAAAGGGAGCGUAGGUGGAUUGUUAAGUCAGUUGUGAAAGUUUGCGGCUCAACCGUAAAAUUGCAGUUGAAACUGGCAGUCUUGAGGACAGUAGAGGUGGGCGGAAUUCGUGGUGUAGCGGUGAAAUGCUUAGAUAUCACGAAGAACUCCGAUUGCGAAGGCAGUUCACUGGACUGCAACUGACACUGAGGCUCGAAAGUGUGGGUAUCAAACAGGAUUAGAUACCCGGGUAGUC
Molecule: ribosomal RNA, 460 nt
Filed under: uncultured bacterium
Lineage: Bacteria
Description: partial 16S ribosomal RNA
Rfam family: Bacterial small subunit ribosomal RNA
Source: RNAcentral